This 67-nucleotide small RNA is filed under the name Staphylococcus aureus. RNAcentral's name for it is "HMPRNC0000_1249". Lineage: Bacteria; Bacillati; Bacillota; Bacilli; Caryophanales; Staphylococcaceae. The record is from RNAcentral.
AGCUUGCUUAGUUUCUUCACCAGCUUUUUGAGCUUGUAUCAAAGCAUCACUUACAGAUUGAUGCACG